UUUAAAACGUCGUGAGACAGUUUGGUCCCUAUCUGCCGUGGGCGUUGGAGAUUUGACGGGGGCUGCUCCUAGUACGAGAGGACCGGAGUGGACGUACCGCUGGUGUACCGGUUGUGACGCCAGUCGCAUUGCCGGGUAGCUAUGUACGGAAGCGAUAACCGCUGAAAGCAUCUAAGCGGGAAACGUGCCUGAAGAUGAGAUCUCCCGGGGCCUUGAGCCCCCUGAAGGGUCGUGGCAGACCACCACGUUGAUAGGUCGGGUGUGGAAGGGCAGUAAUGCCUUAAGCUAACCGAUACUAAUUGCCCGUGCGGCUUGACCUCAUAACC
RNAcentral lists this ribosomal RNA (326 nucleotides) under Aromatoleum sp. Its description in RNAcentral is "partial 23S ribosomal RNA". It matches the Rfam family "Bacterial large subunit ribosomal RNA", at positions 2610 to 2925 of the family's 2925-position model. Lineage: Bacteria; Pseudomonadati; Pseudomonadota; Betaproteobacteria; Rhodocyclales; Rhodocyclaceae. The record is from RNAcentral.